This 234-nucleotide long non-coding RNA is filed under the name Gossypium raimondii (Peruvian cotton). Its description in RNAcentral is "long non-coding RNA (GRAI_LNC000333)". The record is from RNAcentral. Lineage: Eukaryota; Viridiplantae; Streptophyta; Magnoliopsida; Malvales; Malvaceae.
AGACACCUUAACCUUAUCCAUGAGACUACUCUACUGUUAAGUAAUAAUUACAAUCGAAUCUAUUUUUGUAAUAGAAUUGAAAAUUAUUCAAAAAAAUAAAAAAAAAUUAUUUAAAAAAUUUGAAUCAGUAUAAGGUUUUUUCUUAUUAUUAUUUUUAUAUUACUUAAAUAGAUACAAUUGGGGUUUUUUACUAAAAUAAUCCAAAAGAAAUAAAAAUAUACCAAAAUAUACCCC